CAAAUUUUGAAGAUUCUUUGUUUCCACUCACUUUGGAAACGACAUGUCGUACGUAACAUCUGUACUGGUGUAAACAUUUUACUAACUGAACAAUAUAUACAAACGUUUAGUUCUGGAAUAGACUAGCUAGGAUAUGGUAAGAGUUUGAACAAGUUUUAAAAUUAGAAGAUCAUUUAUUAGGGCAGGCACCAGUGCAGGCCUAAGCAGCCCAAAAGAAUGACCCCAAUCCCUCACCUUGAAAGCCUAAAGAAUGGCACCGAAGGAUGCCACAAGUCUUGAUUCAAACUUCUACAUUUCACAAUAAAGUAGACAGACUUAUGGAUAAAAGACCGUAACUACUCAUUUGGGACACCUGAAUGGCUCAGCCAGUUAAGCGUCUGACUCUCGGUUUCAUCUCAGGUCAUGAUCUCACAGUCCGUGGGUUCCAGCCCCUGCGUCAGGUUCGUCACUGACAGCUCGGAGCCUGCUUGAGAUUCUCUCUCUCCCUUCUCUCUCUGCCCCUCCCCCCUUGCACACUCUCUCUCAAAACAAAUAAACUUAAUAGUUUUUUAAAGUUUAUAUAUUCAAAUUGGCAAAAGUGUGGAGUUUCUCUCAUAGUUGGGGUCAUUUUUUAUUUAGUCACAUAAUAUCCACUGAACCUCUACUCUAUGGCAAGCCCUAUUGUAAGUGCUGUGAAUAUAUUAGUUAACUGCUUUUAUGAACUUGAUUUGCAGGUAGUCAUAAGGGGAAAAAAUCAAGGUGAUGUGAAGGAGAUUGGCAAAGGGUUCACAGGAGACCAACAGAAUAAAAGGAAAUCCUGCCAAGAUCAAGGAAACAAUGUGGAGAAGGAGAAAAAGCAGAGAAUUUAAAGGUAAAAUGAGUUUAGGGGCACACAGUAGAUUAGUCAGACGAGCAUCCAACUCUUGAUUUCAGCUCGGGUCAUAAUCCCAGAUUGUGGGAUCAAGCCCCAUGUUGGCCUCCAUGCUGAGCAUGGAGCCGGUUUAGGAUUUUUUUUUUGUCUCUUUCCCUCUCCCUCUGCCCCUCUCCCAGCUUUCACUCCCUUAAGAAAAAAAAGCAAAAAGAGCUUAAAAUUUGAUUCCCACCCCUUUGCCUUAUUCAGUGAAUAUGGACAGCAUAUUACUUACCUUCUCUCAAGCCUCCUUAUUUUCACUGUAAGAUGAAGACGGUGUCACUUAUUUUGCAGUAUUGUAAUCAGAAAUGAAUUAGUCAGGCAACACACAUAGUUGUUAGCAAACAAGCAAGAAAUAAACCCAUUGCUUCUAUUCCUAUUCCCUCAGAAAACCUAGAAAAGCAGUGUAGUGAAGUAGUUUAACAAGGGUGUUUGGGAGCAAGAAUGAUUCAGUUCAGACUACGUAUAUACAGUGCUGUGAUUUGGGUUAAGAUAUUUCACUUUUCUGUGCCUGCUCCUAUAAAAUCCUGGGGAAAUGUUUAGCAUAUGAAAUGUUAUGAAACCCCUAUGAAGCAGUCAGCUUAGGGCCUGGAGCCUGUGUGCAGUGCGUGGAGCCCCGCCCUGACUGUGCACUGGUUUGGGUCCCAAGUGCUGGUGUUUGUGAGUGUGUGAGUCGGGUCCUUCUCCUCACUUGCUGUAUGGAUUCAUGAGAAGCCAGGUCCACUGUGUGUUCAUCACAUAAGGACAUUAGACUUAGAAAUUGACAUGAUGCUUCCUCAUUCUGGGUUUCUCAAACUGAACCCCAACUCUGAGCUCCAUUUCAUUAGUUUACAUUAUCUGAUAGACAUUCUUUAAAAUCAGCAAACAUUCUCUAAAAUCUCUUUCAAAAAAAUGUAAAGUUUCUGGUUGAGAGAAAACUGUGUUAAACCCAUAAACCCUCCCACUAGCACAGCCUCCAGAAGUUCUUUUUAUGGCCGUUGAGUAAUUGUUUUGGGUCUCAGUACUUUCAGUUUCAGGUUCCUAUAAAGUCUGUGACUGGUUGCUUUGCUUCUAGUUUGUCUUUUAUGGAAAUCUGGAAAGUCCAAUAGCAUUACACAGGUAAAAUAAAAGAUUCAUGAUCCAGCAAGAGAGGGAGAAAUAACAGAAACUGCUCUGCCUAACUGAAAAGGACAAAAAAAAAAAAAGGUAAGAUCUCCACUUUAUCAUCAAACAGCUUUCUCUUCAGGUUUAAAAGAGCUCUGCUCUGGGAAAUGGAGCUCAUGACAAGGUUGGGGCAGGGAUGGGAAGGGAUUUAUAAAGGUCCAUUUUCUUAAAAAGUGACCAGGAUAAGGGUGCCUGGGUGGCUUAGUUGGUUGAGCAUCUGACUUCAGCUCAGAUCAUGACCUCACAGUUCAUGAGUUUGAGUCCCAUAUUGGGCUCUCUGCUGUCAGGAUAGAACCUGCUUCAGAUUCUCUGUCCCCCCCUCUCUCUUUGCCUUCCCCUGUGCAUGCUUUCUCUCAAAAAUAAAUACACAUUUUAAAAAAGUGAUCAGCAUCAAGAGAGGCUGCAGGUGAACCUGCUGUGAGACACUAGGUCAGAUAAUGAAGUACCAGUGUCAUUAUAUGGUAGCAUGUUCCUAUCUGUUACUACUGUGCUUGUGCGAAGUUAGACACCGGCAGACAUGGGGCUAAAUGAAGUUUGAAAUAAUUCAUUAGGAUUGUUUUUCUUUUUGCUGACUUUGUCUGUGUUGAUUGGGGACACAGUUAAACUCCCAUUAUCUUUGAUAGAACUUGCUCAGUGCAGAUCUGACUGCAGCUAAGAAACUGAAAGGCUGCAAAUACGUUAUAUUCAUGAAAAGGAAAGACUAGAAAGGAGGUGUGGUGAACAGCCACCUGACACUAAUUUUUUCAAUAUUUAUUUGUUUUGGG
Suricata suricatta (meerkat) is the source of this 2796-nucleotide long non-coding RNA. The record is from Ensembl. NCBI's taxonomy places the organism in Eukaryota, Metazoa, Chordata, Mammalia, Carnivora, Herpestidae.